CGCACUAAGUUCAGCAUCAGUAUGGU
Molecule: non-coding RNA, 26 nt
Filed under: Homo sapiens (human)
Lineage: Eukaryota; Metazoa; Chordata; Mammalia; Primates; Hominidae
Source: RNAcentral